CGAUUUUCCGGAACAGUUGACGCAGUUUCGCUCCCUGCCGCUGGUAGCAGGGCAGUCACUUUCAAACAUUUACAGGAGUAAAGUCGAGCUUCUUCCGCUUUACAGCAGAUUAACGUCGAGUUUUCUCUCUGUUCCGGGCGCUGGCUCGCCGGAGAUGUCAUCUGCUUGAUCCGACGCCUGAGAUGGUCCGAUUGGGCUGGUCUUAACCCUGCUGGCAUGAAUCCACUGAGGUUGUCCGUCUGUGAGGAUGCUGGUUCUUCGUCACUGCCAGUACAGUCUGGGGGCUGGAACACGCGCGGCCUCCCAGAGAGUCCUUGGUUUUAGUGGCUUCUCCAACAUGCAUCUCCUUGUCUCCACUGGUGGAACUGUGGAGGGGAAAAGCUGAGAGAGACAAACUUUCUGAUAGUUAUUAUUCAGUUUUUCUACCAGGUUGUGAACAUCAGUGGACAAUGCAAUAUACAUCACCUUCUACUAGCGGUGCCCCUCUGGAAGCUGACCAUGGUCUUGGAAAUAGUCUUAUUUCAAAUGGAAAUAAUUUGGUUACUGCAGAUUGAGUCAUUCUAAUCUCACACAGGACUUGAGUAAGUAAUUUGACCCAGGUCAUUAAAGUUUUAGCACAUUUUUUAAUUACUUCUCAUGUGAAUGAAGAUCCUCUAUCACUGUUAAUUUGGUGAGGUAUUCCGAAUCUGGGUAUUAUUUCAUUGCUCAACUUUUGACAGACUACUUCUGCAGUUUCUUUUGAGGUUGGAUAAGCUUCUACUCAUUUACUAAAUUGAUCCACUAUUACCACUCAAAGCAGUCUGGCCAUUCUUCUCUGACCUCUAUAAUAAACAAGUAGUGGCCGGGCUGGAGAGGAGAAAAGCUGCUGGAGCAGAGCACUGGUGCAGAUCUGGAGCCGAAGAAGUGUGCGCUGGAAAGUGCAAAAAGUGAUAUUGUAGCAAAUAAACAAAG
Long non-coding RNA from Astatotilapia calliptera (eastern happy), 951 nucleotides. The record is from Ensembl. Lineage: Eukaryota; Metazoa; Chordata; Actinopteri; Cichliformes; Cichlidae.